Molecule: ribosomal RNA, 497 nt
Filed under: uncultured bacterium
Lineage: Bacteria
Description: partial 16S ribosomal RNA
Rfam family: Bacterial small subunit ribosomal RNA
Source: RNAcentral
GAUGAACGCUGGCGGCGUGCCUAAUACAUGCAAGUCGAGCGAACAGACGAGGAGCUUGCUCCUCUGACGUUAGCGGCGGACGGGUGAGUAACACGUGGAUAACCUACCUAUAAGACUGGGAUAACUUCGGGAAACCGGAGCUAAUACCGGAUAAUAUAUUGAACCGCAUGGUUCACUAGUGAAAGACGGUUUUGCUGUCACUUAUAGAUGGAUCCGCGCCGCAUUAGCUAGUUGGUAAGGUAACGGCUUACCAAGGCGACGAUGCGUAGCCGACCUGAGAGGGUGAUCGGCCACACUGGAACUGAGACACGGUCCAGACUCCUACGGGAGGCAGCAGUAGGGAAUCUUCCGCAAUGGGCGAAAGCCUGACGGAGCAACGCCGCGUGAGUGAUGAAGGUCUUCGGAUCGUAAAACUCUGUUAUUAGGGAAGAACAAAUGUGUAAGUAACUAUGCACGUCUUGACGGUACCUAAUCAGAAAGCCACGGCUAACUACGUG